GAGCGACGAACAGGCUUCGGCUGGGGCAAACCGCGAACGGGUGAGUACACGUGGGUAACCUGCCCUGAUGAUCGGGACAACCCGAGGAAACUCGGGCUAAUACCGAAUGUGCCCUCCGGCCACAAGGCCGCUGGGGAAAGGAAGCUUCGGCCUCCGCAUCGGGAUGGGCCCGCGGCCCAUUAGUUUGUUGGUGAGGUAAUGGCUCACCAAGGCUACGAUGGGUAGCUGGUCUGAGAGGACGAUCAGCCACACUGGGACUGAGACACGGCCCAUACUCCUACGGGAGGCAGCAGUGGGGAAUCUUGCGCAAUGCGCGAAAGCGUGACGCAGCAACGCCGCGUGGGGGAAGAAGGCCUUCGGGUUGUAAACCCCUUUCAGUUGGGACGAAGCUCCGCCGGUGAAUAGCCGGCUGGAGUGACGGUACCUUCAGAAGAAGCCCCGGCUAACUACGUGCCAGCAGCCGCGGUAAU
This 470-nucleotide ribosomal RNA is filed under the name uncultured bacterium. RNAcentral's name for it is "bacterial SSU rRNA". It matches the Rfam family "Bacterial small subunit ribosomal RNA", at positions 64 to 524 of the family's 1533-position model. The record is from RNAcentral.